This 113-nucleotide ribosomal RNA is filed under the name Pogona vitticeps (central bearded dragon). The record is from RNAcentral. Lineage: Eukaryota; Metazoa; Chordata; Lepidosauria; Squamata; Agamidae.
GGUUACCAGUAUACCCUGGACACAUCUGAUCUUAUCUGAUUUUGGUAGCUAAACUGGAUCUGGCCUGGUUAGUACUUGGAUGGAAGACUUAUCAGGGAAUACUAGGCUCACCA